Molecule: long non-coding RNA, 2056 nt
Organism: Bubalus bubalis (water buffalo)
Lineage: Eukaryota; Metazoa; Chordata; Mammalia; Artiodactyla; Bovidae
Exons: 3
Source: RefSeq, a predicted model, not a curated record
GUUUCUUUCUCGAGGGGAUCUUCUUGACCCAGGGAUCAAACCCAAGUCUCCUACAUUGCAGGCAGAUUCUUCACCGUCUGAGCCACCAGGGAAGCCCUGGAGCAUUAGAAGGCGAGGAUAAUCAGCACCUUCAGGCAUGGACAGGAGACCCCAGCCAGUCCAAUCAGAGGGCAAUGAGACUUGCUUCUCCCCUGAAUAUGCCUGAGUAAUUCUGUAACCCUGGGGGUUUGUUACAAAUGCAAAUUCUUAGGUCCUACCCCAGACCUACUGAGUCAGUCUCUGAGUCAGAGCCCAGGAAACAAGCCCUCCAGGUAAUUCUGAUGAACUCUCCAGUUUGAGAAGCUGGAUAGUUUCUCUACUUCAUUCAAUUUACAGAUGGUUAAAAAAACAAAACAAAUAGGCACAAAGAAGCAAGGUGAUUUGCCCAAAUUUCUGCAGCCAAGCCAGGUCUCAAAGUAAGCUGUGCUUCCACCCACAUCAUUUAAGAGGCAUCUCCAUGUUUCCAUCAAACUGUAAAACAGCAACAGAAAUCUCUUCUCACCUUUGAAGGUCCUCCCCUCCCCAGUCUCCAGGGAUGAAAAUAACUUUCACUUGCUCUGAGGUUAUAUAAAGUGAAGCCUCACUAUUGCUCACAUGUUUGCGUGCCCUAUCUCAGACUUGACGUCGGCUGGCCUCAAGAGACCUUGGAGUCGGUGAGGACCACGUACUGCCUGAGGAGGCAGGUCCAGCUUUGGCCCCAGCCCUAGGGCAUGCUGGGAGAAAGAGCGAGACUGAGGCUGGAGAGGGGAAGACAGCACCCAAGGUGGUACCGUUGGUGACUCAGGUUCCUCCUCUGCUCUGGCUAUGCCCCUCGCAUUCCGUCUCCCUGCCACCCUGAUCAAGUACUGACUGUGGGCACUCGGUGGAUGCACUGGGACUCAUGAACCUGCUUCUGCCCCCAAGGGAGUUUAUUGCCCACAGCGGGUUUUAGGAUGCAGAUGCCAAGGAUAAUUCUCUUCAUUCAAGACUCACACACUUUAUUUUCUGAAAAGAGGCAACGUGAUAGGAUGGCCAGAGCCCAAGUUCUUAUACAAUAGACCUGGGUUUGAAUCCUGCCAUGUUGCUGUUUGGCUCUGUCUUUUUAGGCAGGCUGUUUUAUUUCUCAAAGCUUUAGUGCCCACAUCACUUCUGCUUGGUUGGGUUGUGGGGGCUCCAGGAGCUGGAGGAGUGCCUGGCACAGGCUGGCAAGUCUCCCACGUUUGGUGCUGACAGGCUGUGAUCAAGGUUGCUCAUGAGAACUUCUAGUGUAGCUGCAGCUCAUCCCCUCCUCCUGGGCUCGAGAGACAUCUGUAAUCGUUGCUCAGAAUCCUGCUCUAACCAUGUGACAGCAGCUGACAUGUACGCUUUGCCCCAUGGAACCACUGUCCACCCUCCCCACUUCUCUCUGCCCCAGAAAUUGGCACAAAUGGACACAGAUGCCAACCACUGGCCUCCACUGGGUGUGGGACCAGAGGAAAGGAAGAGAGAGUUUGGGGUGUUUAUUCCUUCUGUAUCUUCCAUAUCUUCUAGCUACCUCCCUGUGAGGUCAGCUCAGGCUGGCAUUGCCAUUGGACCCUGGGGCCCUGCUUCUCUCAAGGUAGCCUCUCCACACAGGGCUGCCCUGGUGUAGGAUAACUGCAUCUGAAGCUGUUAAGGGCUGUGCUGUUGCUAAGUUGCAGCGCUGUCUCUGGGGGUCUUCUCACUCCACCCACAACCCUUCUGAUAUGAUCCUAUCUUCAGUGCACUGUCCAGUUCUUGCCAAGUCCCGAGGAUGUCUCUGUCCUCAGCACUCUCUCCUUUCCUCUCUCACCUCCUGUGUUCUCUCUUGCCAGUCUUGCUUCCUUGGACAGAGCCUUCUUUUCUCAUAGCAGACUGGCUUGGCCCCUUCUCUGUGCCUUAUCUUUCCAGUUAUGUUACGAGCAUCUUCUUUAAAGGCAGAACCUCUCAGGUCUCUCUUGGGCUCUGCCCAGAGUGACUGGAGGACUCUCCUCUCACCUGAAGCUUGUAUAAAAGUACAGAUGCCUGGGUUCUGCCCAGA